Molecule: unclassified non-coding RNA, 386 nt
Filed under: fungal sp.
Lineage: Eukaryota; Fungi
Description: partial internal transcribed spacer region
Rfam family: Eukaryotic small subunit ribosomal RNA (bases 1-46)
Source: RNAcentral
AAGUCGUAACAAGGUUUCCGUAGGUGAACCUGCGGAAGGAUCAUUAACACGUAUCCAACGUAAAACAACCCUGUGAACCUUCAAACGUGAUCUCGUACACGCUCUAGCAGCAAUCCCUGGUAAAUCAUCGAUGACCAGCAAUUGAGUGAGGGACCUCUGCUAGAAAACCAUACGAUAUGGAUCGCCGGAUAAAGCGGCCUGGCAUCCUAGCAAUCUGUCAGUGGUUGCGCAAGGAUGGCGCAGUAAACGAUCGCUGGAGGCCCACACGGCCGGCGACCGGGCCUCUGUGCCUUGAGCACCUAACGACCCUAUGUUUCUGACCCGGUGCGCUGUAACAACCGCACCACAAACUCGAACAACUGUUAACAAUGGAUAUCUUGGUUCUC